UGUUAAAAAUUUAAUCUAUCUCCAUUAUUAAAAACUACUGUAAAAGAUAAAAUAAUCAGAUAAUUACGUAUAAUGUGCCACAUGUACUUCAUACUGUCGUAUAAGAAUCAAUUUUUAAUAGUAAAAAUAAAUAAAAAUUUUAAUA
RNAcentral lists this microRNA precursor (145 nucleotides) under Gossypium hirsutum (cotton). RNAcentral's name for it is "MIR7502 microRNA precursor family". It matches the Rfam family "MIR7502 microRNA precursor family". Lineage: Eukaryota; Viridiplantae; Streptophyta; Magnoliopsida; Malvales; Malvaceae. The record is from Rfam by way of RNAcentral.